UACGUAGGGUGCAAGCGUUAAUCGGAAUUAUUGGGCGUAAAGCGCACGUAGGCGGUUCGUUAAGUCGGAUGUGAAAGCCCUCGGCUCAACUGAGGAAGUGCACCCGAAACUGGCGAGCUUGAGUACGAAAGAGGAUCGCGGAAUUCCCGGUGUAGAGGUGAAAUUCGUAGAUAUCGGGAGGAACACCGGUGGCGAAGGCGGCGAUCUGGGUCGAUACUGACGCUGAGGUGCGAAAGCGUGGGGAGCAAACA
This 251-nucleotide ribosomal RNA is filed under the name uncultured bacterium. Its description in RNAcentral is "partial 16S ribosomal RNA". It matches the Rfam family "Bacterial small subunit ribosomal RNA", at positions 524 to 774 of the family's 1533-position model. The record is from RNAcentral.